GAUGAACGCUAGCGAUAGGCUUAACACAUGCAAGUCGAGGGGCAUCGAGGGUAGCAAUACCUGUCGGCGACCGGCGCACGGGUGAGUAACGCGUAUGUAACCUGCCCGCAACAGAGGGAUAACCCGGCGAAAGUCGGACUAAUACCUCAUAAAACAGGGGUUCCGCAUGGGGCUAUUUGUUAAAGAUUUAUUGGUUGCGGAUGGGCAUGCGUACCAUUAGGUAGUUGGUGAGGUAACGGCUCACCAAGCCAUCGAUGGUUAGGGGUUCUGAGAGGAAGGUCCCCCACACUGGUACUGAGACACGGACCAGACUCCUACGGGAGGCAGCAGUGAGGAAUAUUGGUCAAUGGGCGAGAGCCUGAACCAGCCAAGUCGCGUGAAGGAUGACUGCCCCUAUGGGUUGUA
Molecule: ribosomal RNA, 405 nt
Filed under: Tannerella forsythia
Lineage: Bacteria; Pseudomonadati; Bacteroidota; Bacteroidia; Bacteroidales; Tannerellaceae
Description: bacterial SSU rRNA
Rfam family: Bacterial small subunit ribosomal RNA
Source: RNAcentral